RNAcentral lists this ribosomal RNA (253 nucleotides) under uncultured bacterium. RNAcentral describes it as "partial 16S ribosomal RNA". It matches the Rfam family "Bacterial small subunit ribosomal RNA", at positions 524 to 776 of the family's 1533-position model. The record is from RNAcentral.
UACGGGGGGGGUAAGCGUUGUUUGGAAUUACUGGGCGUAAAGCGCUCGUAGGCGGCCAACUAAGUCAGACGUGAAAUCCCUCAGCUUAACUGGGGAACUGCGUCUGAUACUGGAUGGCUUGGAUUCGGGAGAGGAAUGCGGAAUUCGAGGUGUAGCGGUGAAAUGCGUAGAUAUCGAGAGGAACACCUGCGGCGAAGGCGGGUUGCUGGGCUGAUACUGACGCUGAGGCGCGAAAGCCAGGGGAGCGAACGGG